UUCUUGACGACCAUAGAACAUUGGAACCACCUGAUCCCAUCCCGAACUCAGAAGUGAAACGAUGUAUCGCCGAUGGUAGUGUGGGGUUUCCCCAUGUGAGAGUAGGUCAUCGUCAAGAUU
This 120-nucleotide ribosomal RNA is filed under the name Pseudomonas fluorescens. The record is from RNAcentral. Lineage: Bacteria; Pseudomonadati; Pseudomonadota; Gammaproteobacteria; Pseudomonadales; Pseudomonadaceae. RNAcentral also lists the same sequence under 1 other name.